RNAcentral lists this ribosomal RNA (502 nucleotides) under uncultured bacterium. RNAcentral's name for it is "partial 16S ribosomal RNA". It matches the Rfam family "Bacterial small subunit ribosomal RNA", at positions 30 to 523 of the family's 1533-position model. The record is from RNAcentral.
AUUGAACGCUGGCGGCAUGCCUUACACAUGCAAGUCGAACGGCAGCAUAGGAGCUUGCUCCUGAUGGCGAGUGGCGAACGGGUGAGUAAUAUAUCGGAACGUGCCCUAGAGUGGGGGAUAACUAGUCGAAAGACUAGCUAAUACCGCAUACGAUCUACGGAUGAAAGUGGGGGAUCGCAAGACCUCAUGCUCCUGGAGCGGCCGAUAUCUGAUUAGCUAGUUGGUGGGGUAAAAGCUCACCAAGGCGACGAACAGUAGCUGGUCUGAGAGGACGACCAGACACACUGGGACUGAGACACGGCCCAGACUCCUACGGGAGGCAGCAGUGGGGAAUUUUGGACAAUGGGGGCAACCCUGAUCCAGCAAUGCCGCGUGAGUGAAGAAGGCCUUCGGGUUGUAAAGCUCUUUUGUCAGGGAAGAAACGGUUCUGGAUAAUACCUGGGACUAAUGACGGCACCUGAAGAAUAAGCACCGGCUAACUACGUGCCAGCCGCCGCCGUAA